This 739-nucleotide non-coding RNA is filed under the name Pongo abelii (Sumatran orangutan). The record is from RNAcentral. Lineage: Eukaryota; Metazoa; Chordata; Mammalia; Primates; Hominidae.
GGAAUAUGAAGGGAGAAUGAAACAAAACUGCUCCGCUCAGGGAACUUAGAAAUUGAAAAGUUGACAUGCAGGCUGGACAUACAGUGGGUCUCGAUUGCUUGGAAGCCAAACUGAACUCACCAAGAAAAUAAGACAGGAGAAACUUCUCAAGAAGAAUAUCUCCAAAUUGCAGGAUCGAAUACCAUAAGAGGAAUUCUGGACUGAAGAAUUAUGAAGUCAUUUCAGACACUUCCAUAUAAUUUGUGUUAAUUAAAUUCUCACCGGUUGAGUUCCAUUCUACACUGGAAGAGCAUUUUUCCUGGAAAGGCUCCUCAAAAUGGACACCAUCAAGAGUCACCUCCUCAGUGAAGCCUUCCAUGGUUUCAUACCACCCAUCCCUAUCUGAAUGAAUGUAUCUUUGCUCUCCGUUAUCCCAGUAUUUUGCCUGGGCUUCUGUCACACUACUUUCAAUGUCUAUACCUCAGUUAUCGAAUCGAAAAACAAGAGUCAUCAGUCUCUAAGGUCCUUGCAAGCUUCAAAACUUUAUAUUUUUGUUAAUUACAACUGAAUAAAGCUGAAAAACUUAUUAUUUAUGGAUACUUACAAAGCACCAUAUAACUCUUUCAGAUAUUUUAAAAGAAUAAUGUUUGCAAAAGACUCCAAAUCAAUGUAUUAAAUUGAAAUCCAGUAUCAAAACAGCCGUUAAAGUGCUCUUUUGAAAUUGUACAUUUUAUAUCAAUAAAAUUUCAAAAUAUAAAAA